GAGGAGCUAGUCCAACUAAGACACCUGACUUCGGCCCAGACAAUUAUGGUUUAAGCCCAUAGCCCCUCU
Molecule: transfer RNA, 69 nt
Filed under: Mantella baroni
Lineage: Eukaryota; Metazoa; Chordata; Amphibia; Anura; Mantellidae
Description: tRNA-Arg
Rfam family: tRNA
About the family: Transfer RNA (tRNA) molecules are approximately 80 nucleotides in length. Their secondary structure includes four short double-helical elements and three loops (D, anti-codon, and T loops). Further hydrogen bonds mediate the characteristic L-shaped molecular structure. tRNAs have two regions of fundamental functional importance: the anti-codon, which is responsible for specific mRNA codon recognition, and the 3' end, to which the tRNAs corresponding amino acid is attached (by aminoacyl-tRNA synthetases). tRNAs cope with the degeneracy of the genetic code in two manners: having more than one tRNA (with a specific anti-codon) for a particular amino acid; and 'wobble' base-pairing, i.e. permitting non-standard base-pairing at the 3rd anti-codon position.
Source: RNAcentral